UACAGAGGGUGCGAGCGUUAAUCGGAAUUACUGGGCGUAAAGGGCGUGUAGGCGGCCAACUAAGUCCGACGUGAAAUCCCCAGGCUUAACCUGGGAACUGCGUCGGAUACUGGAUGGCUUGAAUCCGGGAGAGGGAUGCGGAAUUCCAGGUGUAGCGGUGAAAUGCGUAGAUAUCGGGAGGAACACCUGUGGCGAAAGCGGCUCACUGGACCAUUACUGACGCUGAUGCUCGAAAGCUAGGGGAGCAAACAGG
Molecule: ribosomal RNA, 253 nt
Filed under: uncultured bacterium
Lineage: Bacteria
Description: partial 16S ribosomal RNA
Rfam family: Bacterial small subunit ribosomal RNA
Source: RNAcentral